Molecule: ribosomal RNA, 515 nt
Filed under: uncultured bacterium
Lineage: Bacteria
Description: partial 16S ribosomal RNA
Rfam family: Bacterial small subunit ribosomal RNA
Source: RNAcentral
GAUGAACGCUGGCGGCGUGCCUAAUACAUGCAAGUCGAGCGAAUGGAUUAAGAGCUUGCUCUUAUGAAGUUAGCGGCGGACGGGUGAGUAACACGUGGGUAACCUGCCCAUAAGACUGGGAUAACUCCGGGAAACCGGGGCUAAUACCGGAUAACAUUUCGAACCGCAUGGUUCGAAAUUGAAAGGCGGCUUCGGCUGUCACUUAUGGAUGGACCCGCGUCGCAUUAGCUAGUUGGUGAGGUAACGGCUCACCAAGGCAACGAUGCGUAGCCGACCUGAGAGGGUGAUCGGCCACACUGGGACUGAGACACGGCCCAGACUCCUACGGGAGGCAGCAGUAGGGAAUCUUCCGCAAUGGACGAAGGUCUGACGGAGCAACGCCGCGUGAGUGAUGAAGGCUUUCGGGUCGUAAAACUCUGUUGUUAGGGAAGAACAAGUGCUAGUUGAAUAAGCUGGCACCUUGACGGUACCUAACCAGAAAGCCACGGCUAACUACGUGCCAGCAGCCGCAGUAA